UGGUGAAUAAACGGUCAUAAGUAAAUUGCAUACGUUCAAAUCUAUAUAUUUUAGAAUAAAAGUAAUAAUAGCAUAUAUCUUGUAUAAAUAGAGAUACAAUAACGAUCGACACAAAUGUGUUAAAUUUCCUUUUAUUGUGUUAUAAUUCUGUGUUUUGUCAUUUAAAAGCAUCAUCUGGAUGGUAUAGUUUGUCUUUGGCAUUUAAAACAAACUUGUCAAUACAUUUGACUUUCUCUGUAAAUAUUUAUUUAUAUAUGUAUGUUUAUUAUUUUACAGUGUUUUAACAUGUUUUUGUAUUUUUCAUGUUUAUGAUAUUUUGGAAUGACUGAAGAUUCAGCGCAGAAUUCAAUAAUCCUGUGGAUGGACCGCAGCGAGUCCUUUUGCAGUUAUCCAUCAAAAUGCUAUGCAGACAUAAUGGAAAUGGCAUUUACAUUGUAGAGCUUGGACAAAGUUCACACAGGCUCUGCCCAGGAAUUCAUCAAGGACAUGACUGCUGGGAUUACGCUUGUGGAUGACCAAUCUGAGCACCAUCAGUCUGCAGUGAUGUGGUCCAGCCAUCCAGUGACAUUAAGGAUGUUGAGAAAGAAAUUGAAGAGGGCAUUCUGAUUGUAACUGAAGAACAGCAACGUGAUGUGCUUCCCAAGGAAUAACCAACAUUGGUCUCAUUUGGACAUCCUGUCAUCACUGACAUCUCCCAUGUCCCCAAGGCAUAUGGACUCCUAAUGGGUCUGUAUACAGAGAACAUCCACUACCUCCAGCGCAUUAAAUACACCAUCGAGGCUCUGCAAAAACUUGUGAAGAUCAGCUGCUCCCACCAUGUGCUCGCUACCGCGGCAUGAACUGUAGGUGUGGGGGAGUGAAUGUCCACCGCUCUCUCCACCCUCAACACCACAAAUAAGGUGUCCUUGAGCAAGGCACAACUUCUCCCCGGGUGCUGCAGCAUAAAUGGCUGCCCACUGCUCUGGGUGUGUGUUCACGGUGUGUGUUCAAUGCUGUGUGUGUGCACUUUGGAUGGGUUAAAUGAAGAGCACAAAUGUAUGUCAUGUCACUUUCACUUUUCAGUGUUCAUGAUGUGUCCAUCGGCUCCACCGCACUCUUUCUUAAAAAGUAGUGUUUUUUUUUUUUUUUUUAAGGAAAUUUAGGUUCUUUUGUGCCUUUCACUACAUUUUGGAAUGUACAUUAAAGUUUAUCAUGUCAUGACUUGGAAUAUGCAUGUUCUCAUGUAAACAAAUGUUGUUUCCCCUCUCAUUUUCUUAAGCAGUAUGUACACAUUUUCAGUAUGUAGCAUUAUGAUGGGGGACGAGUUUGGAAACUUUCAAGACCCUUCUGAUGUUAACACCUCUGUCUGGUCAUGUUGUGCUAUGAAAUUUAGAAUCUGACUUUAGAUAUUUGUGCUUCCAUGUGCAUUCAUUCCAUUUAUAUCUUAUUAUACAGAAGUACAGUACAUUCAUUCUUUGUAACUAAUUGUGAUGUUAUAUACAUAUAUCUUGGUUUCUCAUUUUGACCAUGACUUGCAUUAUGGUGGGGGGAGUGCAUGUGAACUUGUGCAGGGUUAAUAUGCAGAGUUCAACCUUCUGAUUUUCAUACUGAGUUAUGAAAUUAAAAGCAAUCCCUGUGGUUUUGAUCUGAUGAAUUGAAAUGCAACUAUUUGUUUCUCAAUCCCAUGCCAAUGUUAUUUAUUAUGCAUCACACUUUCAAGUGUCGGUCCAGAUCUUUAGACGUGUGUUUGUAUUUUGCAUUUUUUGUUUUGUUUAUCAAUUAUCAGGUUGAUGUGUUGAC
Long non-coding RNA from Carassius gibelio (silver crucian carp), 1779 nucleotides. RefSeq lists it as uncharacterized. The record is from RefSeq and is a predicted model, not a curated record. Lineage: Eukaryota; Metazoa; Chordata; Actinopteri; Cypriniformes; Cyprinidae. The transcript is spliced from 3 exons.